UGAAUAACCCCGAAAAUGAUCAUUGA
RNAcentral lists this non-coding RNA (26 nucleotides) under Drosophila melanogaster (fruit fly). The record is from RNAcentral. Lineage: Eukaryota; Metazoa; Arthropoda; Insecta; Diptera; Drosophilidae.